ACCAGUGUGAUGUAGUGGUAUAAGUGUGGGACUAGACUCCAGAGACCAGGGUUCAAAUCCCUGCUUGGCA
Molecule: transfer RNA, 70 nt
Filed under: Phrynosoma platyrhinos (Desert horned lizard)
Lineage: Eukaryota; Metazoa; Chordata; Lepidosauria; Squamata; Phrynosomatidae
Description: tRNA-OTHER
Source: RNAcentral